Molecule: ribosomal RNA, 465 nt
Filed under: uncultured bacterium
Lineage: Bacteria
Description: partial 16S ribosomal RNA
Rfam family: Bacterial small subunit ribosomal RNA
Source: RNAcentral
GACGAACGCUGGCGGCGUGCUUAACACAUGCAAGUCGAACGGAAAGGCCCCUUUGGGGGUCCUCGAGUGGCGAACGGGUGCGUAACACGUGAGUAACCUGCCCUUGCCUUCUGGAUAACUUCAGGAAACUGGGGCUAAUACCGGAUAGGAAUCCUUGCUGCAUGGUGGGGGUUGGAAAGCUUCGGCGGUUUUGGAUGGACUCACGGCUUAUCAGCUUGUUGGUGGGGUAGUGGCUUACCAAGGCUUUGACGGGUAGCCGGCCUGAGAGGGCGACCGGCCACAUUGGGACUGAGAUACGGCCCAGACUCCUACGGGAGGCAGAAGGGGGGAAUAUUGAACAAGGGGCGGAAGCCGGAUGCAGAAACGCCGCGUGCGGGAUGACGGCCUUCGGGUUGUAAACCGCGUUCAGCAGGGGCGAAGCUUGUGGUGACGGUACCUGCAGAAGAAGCACCGGCUAACUACGUG